UACGGGGGGGGCAAGCGUUGUUCGGAAUUACUGGGCGUAAAGGGCUCGUAGGUGGCCAUGUAAGUCAUACGUGAAAUCCCUCAGCUUAACUGGGGAACUGCGCCUGAUACUGGUUGGCUUGAGUUUGGGAGAGGGACGCGGAAUUCCAGGUGUAGCGGUGAAAUGCGUAGAUAUCUGGAGGAACACCGGUGGCGAAGGCGGCGUCCUGGACCAAUACUGACACUGAGGAGCGAAAGCCAGGGGAGCAAACGGG
Molecule: ribosomal RNA, 253 nt
Filed under: uncultured bacterium
Lineage: Bacteria
Description: partial 16S ribosomal RNA
Rfam family: Bacterial small subunit ribosomal RNA
Source: RNAcentral